Long non-coding RNA from Arabidopsis lyrata subsp. lyrata, 1106 nucleotides. RefSeq lists it as uncharacterized. NCBI's taxonomy places the organism in Eukaryota, Viridiplantae, Streptophyta, Magnoliopsida, Brassicales, Brassicaceae. The transcript has 3 exons. The record is from RefSeq and is a predicted model, not a curated record.
AUUUUAGAAAACUAAACGAAAAAAAAAAACAAAAAAGCAAAAAAAAAAUUGCUCACAUCCUCACCUCCGAUUCUCUCCUCCCAAACCGCAGUUCACCCCGCCGAUCUCGCCGCCCGCCGUCUCCAGUAUCUCGUUCUUGCAAUCGGUUUGUUCUCCUCUCUCCUCCGCCAUUGAUGAAACUAAGAGAUUCUUUCUUAGUUUCUCAAUCUUCCGCCAUGGAUAUCAACGACAACCACGCUCCGACGACAAAGACGCUCUCUCAGUUAUCAGAGGUUCUGCAUCGACGAUUCGAAGUUUCUAAUAAUUGUAUAGUUUUCUUCAUCCUUUGUCCUUUUUCUCGUUUGAUUUGAUUUCUCUUCGAAAAGCAAGAAUUUUAUUAUCUAAGAUCUCUUGUUGAUACGCUUAGAUGAGUGUAGUGGGAUUCGAUGUUGGGAACGAGAACUGUCAAUUCCGUAAUCAUGAGUUCUUAUGGCAAAUUCUACCUCAAAAUUCAUACUAGUUGAUUAGUUUGAAGUUAUUGGGGAAUAUAAGUUGAUUAGUUUACCCUUUUAUUGUUGUAUCUGUUUUUUCUUAAGACAAUGAUAACAGCGAUGGAAGUGGCACUAGAAUGGGAGAGAACUAGCAAAUUUGUGAUGCAUACCAAGAUGAGCCUGUAGAUGGUCAUUCCAUUGAUGUUGAGGCCAGUCUUGAUCUUAUGGGGACAAUGGAACAAGACCUUCAAAAGGAGGUAGGAAAUGAAGAUUUAGCCAUGAAUCAUGAUUGAUGACCAAGAGAAGGAUCUUGAGAAAGAAACUGAGAUGGGAACCAAGGAAAAAGAUGGUGAUGAGGAGGCUAAAUCUGAGAAGCCUAAGAAGAAAAAAAGAUCAAAGAAAGGCAAGACUCCGGCUAAAGUAGAUGUUCUAGUUGCUAACAACGUUGUACUUUGGUUAUUUUAAUUUCAAAGUAAAUAUAUGAUAUUAUUGAUAACCAUUUUUACUUACAGAUCUAUAUGUUUUACAUGCAAAGUUAUUCAAUGAUUUGGAAAAUAAAACAUGUAUUAGUAUUUGUCAAAUUUAUAAAACUAGGUUCGACUAGGUACAACUAAGAACAUAUCUGUAUUUGAAUUC